UUUUUUACUUAUUCUUAGCCAUUUAGCACUCUGAUUUUCCCUAACAUGACAGUGCACUCCAGCACAAUUGGUUGCACCGAUCCGCUGGGCAUGAAAUCCCGUCUCAUCUCUGAUGUGCAGCUUACAGCAUCUAGCAGCUUCCGCACCUGGGGUAUAGAUGCCUUUACCUGGUAUCCCUUCUAUGCUCGCCUGGACAAACAAGGCAAGACUAACGCUUGGGCGGCAGCGAACAACAACCGCUCAGAGUGGCUCCAGCUGGAUUUGGAGAAACCUAAAAGAAUCACAGGCAUCAUCACUCAGGGAGCAAAAGACUUUGGAGUUGUGCAGUUUGUUUCAGCCUUUAAGAUUGCAUAUAGUGAUGACGGACAAUCUUGGAGCAUGGUGAAGGAUCAAAUAACGAGAACAGAUAAGAUUUUCCAAGGCAACAUAGACAACAACACACACAAAAAUAAUUUGUUUGAGCCUCCGUUCUUUGCUCGAUUUGUGCGGUUUCUGCCCUGGGAGUGGCAUGAGCGGAUAACUUUACGCAUGGAGCUGCUGGGCUGUGAUGAUUAGCGGAUGUGCUGAAGGCUGCACACUGCCUCUCUCUGCACUGCUUCCACCUGAAGUGUUUCUGCUGGUUGUAGACAACACAAAUCUACCAGAGAAGAUGUCAUGCUUCAAAUCCACCAGAAGAUGGCAGAAGACUUUAGGCUUCAUACUCUAUAACAAGGUUCUCUAGGCGACAUGGGAGAAACAGGUUAGGGCAUCACAAACAGCCUAAAAGGGGUCCAUUCAGUCACAGGGAAGUUCAUUCCUUCCACUCCACCCAAUUAGGCAAACAUUAUCAUCUGUUUAAAAAUACAUUUCUAGACUGGGUUUGGUGAGGUAAAAACCAUUUUCUUUCCAUCCUACCUGUACAUUGUGAAUAACCUCUCUGAGUACUCUUUGCCCUUCAUUCCUGCUCUGUAUGACAGACUACCAGCCAACAAACAAAUCAGUCCUGUAUUAAACAUGAUGUAUGGAAUGUUUUAAUGGCACGUUGUUGCAUUUGCUGUAAUACAGUUAUUCAAACACAAAGUUCAUCUGAAGACAUUCAUGGAUAAAUUGAAAUUCUCCUACUAUAAGACAACAGAUUAUCACAAUGACAGUAUCGUCUCAUAUUUUCCCACGUUUUCACUGUUGACUGGUCACUCAUCCAUCUCAAUUCAAGAAAUGAUAGGUUUUCUAUGCCACAGAGUAUCAAACCGCUUGCAAUUCAUGAGAA
Molecule: RNA transcript, 1246 nt
Organism: Sinocyclocheilus grahami
Lineage: Eukaryota; Metazoa; Chordata; Actinopteri; Cypriniformes; Cyprinidae
Gene name: lactadherin-like
Exons: 4
Source: RefSeq, a predicted model, not a curated record